Molecule: non-coding RNA, 31 nt
Filed under: Homo sapiens (human)
Lineage: Eukaryota; Metazoa; Chordata; Mammalia; Primates; Hominidae
Source: RNAcentral
UCCAGACCCAGAUGUGGCCUCAGGCAGGUGA